UGUUGCAUGCCUGUGGCUCCCUCCUUCUCUGGAUAUUGUCUUUUAUGGUUUUUUGUGUUAAAGUUUUUCUUUGAAUCCAUAGGUUCCUGACUGUCUUUCAAGCAACAACAACAACAACAAAACAAAAAAAAAGGAAAGGAAAGGAAAGGAAAGGAAGGAAGGAAGGAAGGGUAAAAAAAGAAAAACAAAGCAAUCCCCCAAAAUCUUUAAAUAAUGACACCUCUACCUAGCUGGACAUUUUUUACCAGCAUCGUUGCUGAGAGGAUUGUCAUGGAGGGCUGGAAGACACAUUAUUUGAAGGAUAUACAAAAGUUGAAGAGGAAGAGGACGAGGGAUCAGUCUCCCAGUUUCAUGCCCCACCAUCAGCAACUCUCGCAUCCCCCCUGGGGGUCCCAUCCCAACAUUUGAGAACCACUGGUAUAAAGGAAAUGCUAUGAGAGCCAGCAUGGUUUAGUGGUUUGCAUGUUGGACUAUGACACCGGAGGCCAGAGAAGACAAUGCCAAACCUCCUCUGAACAAAUAUUGCCAAGGAAACGCUGUGAUAGGGUCACUGUAAGUUGGGAACUUCUUGAAGGUACAAAACAAUUACUUACCACACAGCAUCCAGCAGGUGGCACAAGACACCAUCUUCAUCUCCAAUAAGCAGUAGGGGACCUGACUUGCAAUAACCAUCAUUCAGUCCAGACAGCACCUUUACACCCUUCUUUUAUGUAGAGGGGUCUCUAGUUCUUCUUUCACACUGUCUGUGUAUCUUUCUUUCUCCUGCUUUCUUUUGAGGGAGGGAUUAUUUUCAGGAAAUUAGUCUUUUACUACAGCUUACUCUCUGUUGCACAAACUAUGUACCUAGUGAGCAUUAAUGUGAUUGAUGUCAUUAUUUUUCUUUCAGAAAUCUAGCAUGAUACACCCGUUCACCCUCCUUUCAGGGCCACCCCACUCCCAAUAUUUUCAUUACAGGUGAUUACAGGUAAGCCACUACCUGAUUACCUUCUGUGGACUGGAAAUAAUACAUGUACUUAACAAUUUCACUGAGUUGCUCUGAGAUCAGUGGUUCUCAACCUUCCUAAUGCCACAACCCUUUAAUACAGUUCCUCAUGCUGUGUUGACCCCCAACCAUAAAAUUAUUUUCAUUGCUACUUCAUAAAUGUAAUUUUGCUACUGUUUUCCAAUGGUCUUAAGUGACCCCUGUGAAAGGGUUGUUCGACCUCCAAAGUGGUUGUGAGUCGUGACCCACCGGUUAAGAAGUUUAUUCACUAGAAACAAGCUGAUGAUUAUGAAUGUUGUAAAACAUUGCUGAUUGAUAGUAACAUUGCUGUAGUAUUUUAGCCUUUACUUAAUGGUUCAGUUCUUUAGCCUCCUGGUUGCAUUGCACAGCCAUGUUCCACAGGUAUCAAUUCAAAGAUCUGUAGUAUGAAUAUAUUUCAAGGACUGGACACAAUGUUGCCUCUACGUUCUUAAUAAAUGCA
Molecule: long non-coding RNA, 1463 nt
Organism: Sceloporus undulatus (fence lizard)
Lineage: Eukaryota; Metazoa; Chordata; Lepidosauria; Squamata; Phrynosomatidae
Exons: 3
Source: RefSeq, a predicted model, not a curated record